GCAAGACCUCGCGCGAUUGGAGCGGCCGAUAUCAGAUUAGGUAGUUGGGUGAGGUAAAGGCUCACCAAGCCGACGAUCUGUAGCUGGUCUGAGAGGACGACCAGCCACACUGGGACUGAGACACGGCCCCAGACUCCUACGGGAGGCAGCAGUGGGGAAUUUUGGACAAUGGGCGCAAGCCUGAUCCAGCAAUGCCGCGUGCAGGAUGAAGGCCUUCGGGUUGUAAACUGCUUUUGUACGGAACGAAACGGUGAGCUCUAAUACAGUUUGCUAAUGACGGUACCGUAAGAAUAAGCACCGGCUAACUACGUG
RNAcentral lists this ribosomal RNA (312 nucleotides) under uncultured bacterium. Its description in RNAcentral is "bacterial SSU rRNA". It matches the Rfam family "Bacterial small subunit ribosomal RNA", at positions 202 to 507 of the family's 1533-position model. The record is from RNAcentral.